CAAAAUGCGAUAAGUAAUGUGAAUUGCAGAAUUCAGUGAAUCAUCGAAUCUUUGAACGCACAUUGCGCCCGCCAGUAUUCUGGCGGGCAUGCCUGUUCGAGCGUCAUUUCAACCCUCAAGCCCCCGGGUUUGGUGUUGGGGACCGGGCUGCGGUUCUACCGCGUCCCGGCCCCGAAAUCUAGUGGCGGUCUCGCUGCAGCCUCCAUUGCGUAGUAGCUAACACCUCGCAACUGGAACGCGGCGCGGCCAAGCCGUUAAACCCCCAACUUCUGAAUGUUGACCUCGGAUCAGGUAGGAAUACCCGCUGAACUUAAGC
Molecule: unclassified non-coding RNA, 316 nt
Filed under: plant metagenome
Description: partial contains 5.8S ribosomal RNA, internal transcribed spacer 2, and large subunit ribosomal RNA
Rfam family: 5.8S ribosomal RNA (bases 1-106)
Source: RNAcentral